RNAcentral lists this long non-coding RNA (1051 nucleotides) under Manacus vitellinus (golden-collared manakin). Its description in RNAcentral is "lncRNA (ENSMVIG00005007594.1)". Lineage: Eukaryota; Metazoa; Chordata; Aves; Passeriformes; Pipridae. The record is from RNAcentral.
CACCUCCUUUUCGCCGCUCGCUCCCGAGCACUGAUUUGUUUCAAUAAAUCGAGCCCCAAUCCCCCGGUGGCAGCCGUCUCCUCCUCCCUCUCCUUCCCCUCCCGCUCCCCUCUCUGCCCGGCUCAGCUUGAUGCUGCUCAAGUUGUGAUGCAGCCCAAAAUAUAGAUCCUUUUCCCUUCGAUCCGAGGCAAAGGCGUGUUUUCCCGGCUGCCUCCGCCUCCACUUGCAAGCCCCCCGCUCAGCCCACCGGCGCCGCUAACCCCCAUCCUGCCCCCCACCUGUCUCCAGCUCAGCACCGCCUCCGCCCGGCUCCUGAAAUAGCCCCGCGGCUGCCGGGGCCGCUCCGGCGCGGCUCUGCCCGCCUGUGCGCAGGAUCCGCCCCCUCUGUCAGCCAGCCAGGCUGCUCUCCUCCCGCCGGACAAACUACUUUCCUCGCACGCUUUAUUAUAGGGGCGCCUCUGCCCGCCGUUUCCUAUCAGAGAGCCUCAUUUGGCAGACACAGGUUCACCGAGAGGCAGAGCUGUGUAUCCGACGGCAUCAGCAAGUUCCUGGCUGUGGCUAAACUACAAAAGGCGUGGAUCUGUCCUUUUGGAGCAGGGGGACAUGAAAUUACAGCUCUUACAUUUGCAAAGCACCUGGAGAGUAAAUGAAAGGGAGGAGAGGCUCAGGCGUGGGAAAGAGGCACAGCCUAAUGGGGAGAGCAGAGCAGCUCUAGUCGGGAUGUUUCCGAUGCCUCCGCUCGGGCACAGCGGGACCUUGGAGAAGCCGCGGUGGCUGCCUUAUUUGUCAGACGAAGGCGGUGAAUGCGUGCUUAGCUCCUGAAGUCCUUGGGAGGCUCAGAUCACCCACGUCUGAAUGGUAGAGACUGCAGCGUGCCCUGGGGAGGACAGUCCCGGGCAUUUGGGGAGGGCAGCAACCUGAAGCACUCUGUCCCCCGCUCCGCUCAGCUAGGAUCAAGGCAUCUCGCCGAAAGGCAAAAGCCCCAGGAGCUUCUGGAGCCUGAGGGCACCGCGCACCACGGGGCGGGUGGCCAGGGCGAGACCACGCGGCU